GAUGAAGAACGCAGCGAACUGCGAUAAGUAAUGUGAAUUGCAGAAUUCAGUGAAUCAUCGAGUCUUUGAACGCACAUUGCGCCCCCUGGCAUUCCGGGGGGCAUGCCUGUCCGAGCGUCAUUGCUGCCCUUCAAGCCCGGCUUGUGUGUUGGGUCGUCGUCCCCCCCGGGGGACGGGCCCGAAAGGCAGCGGCGGCACCGCGUCCGGUCCUCGAGCGUAUGGGGCUUUGUCACCCGCUCGAUUAAGGCCGGCCGGGCGCCAGCCGGCGUCUCCAACCUUCUAUUUUACCAGGUUGACCUCGGAUCAGGUAGGGAUACCCGCUGAACUUAAGCAUAUCAAUAAGCGGAGGA
This 350-nucleotide unclassified non-coding RNA is filed under the name soil metagenome. RNAcentral describes it as "partial contains 5.8S ribosomal RNA, internal transcribed spacer 2, and large subunit ribosomal RNA". The stretch from base 1 to 120 matches the Rfam family "5.8S ribosomal RNA", at positions 35 to 154 of the family's 154-position model. The record is from RNAcentral.